AUGUAGUGUAGCAUGCCCGUUUGUGGAAUUACUCUGAUGUUGAAUUAAUUAUUAUUAUUAUUUAAUUGUUUUUGGGUAACGGGGCGUUACAUUCUU
Molecule: microRNA precursor, 96 nt
Filed under: Medicago truncatula (barrel medic)
Lineage: Eukaryota; Viridiplantae; Streptophyta; Magnoliopsida; Fabales; Fabaceae
Description: MIR2617 microRNA precursor family
Rfam family: MIR2617 microRNA precursor family
Source: Rfam by way of RNAcentral